RNAcentral lists this ribosomal RNA (452 nucleotides) under uncultured bacterium. RNAcentral describes it as "partial 16S ribosomal RNA". It matches the Rfam family "Bacterial small subunit ribosomal RNA", at positions 28 to 507 of the family's 1533-position model. The record is from RNAcentral.
GAUGAACGCUGGCGGCGUGCCUAACACAUGCAAGUCGAGCGAUUUACUUCGGUAAAGAGCGGCGGACGGGUGAGUAACGCGUGGGUAACCUGCCCUGUACACACGGAUAACAUACCGAAAGGUAUGCUAAUACGAGAUAAUAUGCUUUUAUCGCAUGGUAGAAGUAUCAAAGCUUUUGCGGUACAGGAUGGACCCGCGUCUGAUUAGCUAGUUGGUGAGGUAACGGCUCACCAAGGCGACGAUCAGUAGCCGACCAGAGAGGGUGAUCGGCCACAUUGGAACUGAGACACGGUCCAAACUCCUACGGGAGGCAGCAGUGGGGAAUAUUGCACAAUGGGCGAAAGCCUGAUGCAGCAACGCCGCGUGAGCGAUGAAGGCCUUCGGGUCGUAAAGCUCUGUCCUCAAGGAAGAUAAUGACGGUACUUGAGGAGGAAGCCCCGGCUAACUACGUG